GGGGUAUUAGCUCAGUUGGGAGAGCAUCUGCCUUACAAGCAGGAGGUCAUAGGUUCAAGUCCUAUAUGCCCCA
Molecule: transfer RNA, 73 nt
Filed under: Candidatus Hepatoplasma crinochetorum Av
Lineage: Bacteria; Bacillati; Mycoplasmatota; Mollicutes; Mycoplasmatales; Hepatoplasmataceae (SeqCode)
Rfam family: tRNA
About the family: Transfer RNA (tRNA) molecules are approximately 80 nucleotides in length.
Source: Rfam by way of RNAcentral